RNAcentral lists this ribosomal RNA (579 nucleotides) under Triticum aestivum (bread wheat). Its description in RNAcentral is "partial small subunit ribosomal RNA". The record is from RNAcentral. Lineage: Eukaryota; Viridiplantae; Streptophyta; Magnoliopsida; Poales; Poaceae.
AUGCGCUAUGAUGAGCGGUACACACCUUAUGUUAGGGAGGAAGGACUUCUCCCUUUCAUUGAGUUGGUCCGCCGGUCGACGCCACCCAACAAUGCUGCAGCACUCACCGCGCUUAUUGAUCAUUGGAGGCCGAAGACACACACUUUCCAUCUUCGGACCGGGGAGAUGACCGUGACGCUGCAGGAUAUCGCUAUGAUCACCGGUCUUCCUAUCGAUGGCAAUCCUUUAUGUAUGAACACCGAUUCUGAAGGGUGGCGCGCGCAGAUGCAUGCCCUUAUCGGUAUGGUUCCUCCGGAGCCUCGGGAGCCAGAAAGGGAAGAUAAGAAGAAGGAAAGAGUCGCAGCGGGCGCUACUUUCACGUGGAUAUCAUCGAACUUCGCUAAUUGCCCCGAUGAUGCUAAUGAGGACAUGGUGAAGACAUAUGCUCGUGUCUACAUGUGGUACGUGAUAUCGAGGACAAUGUUUGCUGAUGGCACAGGCAAGAAUGCUCCAUGGAUGUGGCUGAAGGCGUUGACCGUCUUCGAUAGCAAAUGGAGUUGGGGUUCGGCGACACUAGCUUACUUGUAUCGACAGGUAUGA